AGAGUUUGAUCAUGGCUCAGGAUGAACGCUGGCGGUCUGCUUAACACAUGCAAGUCGAACGGAAUCUUUCGGGAUUUAGUGGCGGACGGGUGAGUAACGCGUGAGAAUCUGCCUUCAGGUUCGGGACAACAGUUGGAAACGGCUGCUAAUACCGGAUGUGCCGAGAGGUGAAAGCUUAAGUGCCUGGAGAUGAGCUCGCGUCUGAUUAGCUAGUAGGAGUGGUAACGGCACCCCUAGGCGACGAUCAGUAGCUGGUCUGAGAGGAUGAUCAGCCACACUGGGACUGAGACACGGCCCAGACUCCUACGGGAGGCAGCAGUGGGGAAUUUUCCGCAAUGGGCGCAAGCCUGACGGAGCAAGACCGCGUGAGGGAAGAAGGUCUGUGGAUUGUAAACCUCUUUUGAUCGGGAAGAAGACAGUGACGGUACCGAUCGAAUCAGCUCGAUUUGCG
This 451-nucleotide ribosomal RNA is filed under the name uncultured cyanobacterium. RNAcentral's name for it is "bacterial SSU rRNA". It matches the Rfam family "Bacterial small subunit ribosomal RNA", at positions 8 to 505 of the family's 1533-position model. The record is from RNAcentral. Lineage: Bacteria; Bacillati; Cyanobacteriota.